This 482-nucleotide ribosomal RNA is filed under the name uncultured bacterium. RNAcentral describes it as "partial 16S ribosomal RNA". It matches the Rfam family "Bacterial small subunit ribosomal RNA", at positions 28 to 523 of the family's 1533-position model. The record is from RNAcentral.
GACGAACGCUGGAGGCGUGCUUAACACAUGCAAGUCGAACGAUGAAAUGGAGCUUGCUCCAUGGAUUAGUGGCGAACGGGUGAGUAACACGUGAAUAACCUGCCCUUAAUUUUGGAAUAACCCAGGGAAACCUGGGCUAAUACCGGAUAAGUAAACCUGUGGCAUCACAUGGUUUUGGAAAGUUUUUCGAUUAAGGAUGGAUUCGCGGCCUAUCAGCUUGUUGGUGAGGUAAUGGAUCACCAAGGCGACGACGGGUAGCCGGCCUGAGAGGGUGAACGGCCACACUGGGACUGAGACACGGCCCAGACUCCUACGGGAGGCAGCAGUGGGGAAUAUUGCGCAAUGGACGAAAGUCUGACGCAGCGACGCCUCGUGAGGGACGAAGGUCUUCGGAUUGUAAACCUCUUUCAGCAGGGACGAAGCGAAAGUGACGGUACCUGCAGAAGAAGCACCAGCUAACUAUGUGCCAGCAGCCGCGGUAA